Molecule: non-coding RNA, 74 nt
Organism: Tulasnella sp. 417
Lineage: Eukaryota; Fungi; Basidiomycota; Agaricomycetes; Cantharellales; Tulasnellaceae
Source: the annotation of a GenBank genome assembly
AAGACUGUAGCAUAAUUGGUUAAUGCCACUCGCUCAUAAUGGGUCAAAUGAGGGUUCGAGCCCCUUCGGUCUUA